Long non-coding RNA from Lolium rigidum, 839 nucleotides. RefSeq lists it as uncharacterized. NCBI's taxonomy places the organism in Eukaryota, Viridiplantae, Streptophyta, Magnoliopsida, Poales, Poaceae. The transcript has 3 exons. The record is from RefSeq and is a predicted model, not a curated record.
UACACAACGAUUGAAGAAUUGUCAAUUUUGUGGAUUUACAAAUGUCGACUCCAUGUUAUGAUACAACAUGAACAAGCAUGUGCUGACUUGAGAAUGCAAACAACAACUCAGGUAGGAAGGUGUUCUUGCAAAAAGGGUGGUUUUCUGAAGAAGGGUUCUGUAGAGAGGUGGCUUUGAUAUAAGUAGAAGAUAAUGCUUAAAGUAACUUUUUCGGGACAUAUCAUCCUCCAAGCACUCUCUGUUUCAAGACAUAACCAAUGGAAGAAAAAAAAAAACGUAUUGGAUGAAGGCAGUCGCUACGCUCAACUCGCUUUUUAUCAUGUGAAUAUGAAGUAAGAUGUGCCAUAUAUGAAUAUGCAGAUCCGGAAGAUGCCUAGAGGCAGAGGAAGCGAGAAUGUUAUGCAAAAAAAUAAAGAGGAGAUUUCAAAACGCAGACGCCAAGAACGAGAGUUUAAAAAACAGGCAACGACUACUACAAUUGCCAAUAACAUAGUAUGUCAUACACCAGCUACUAGACAACCGGGAGUCACCCAGCUGCAAUACAGAACACCUGCAGGAGGUCAUGUGUUCUCAACUCGCAUCAUAUGGGUGCCAUGCUUUCUAAAUACAAAUAUAUGUAUGAAAUACUAAUUUUAAGCUGCAAUGAAUUUGUAGAUGUGGCUCCAGUUGUUCGACAAAACUAUGCAUCUCAAAUUACUUCACCAUCACUCAACCAUUUAGCGGGUGGUGAGUAUAUUGUGGGCUGCAGUAAUGUUUCCCUCUAUGAACCGAUCGCAUCUACAUUGCAAUCUGAUGAGUGUGGCGCAUUUACAUGCCUAACAAUCAAUCAUAUUGAACAU